GACGAACGCUGGCGGCGUGCUUAACACAUGCAAGUCGAACGGAAAGGCCCUGCUUUUGUGGGGUGCUCGAGUGGCGAACGGGUGAGUAACACGUGAGUAACCUGCCCUUUACUUUGGGAUAACUUCAGGAAACUGGGGCUAAUACCGGAUAGGAGCUCCUGCUGCAUGGUGGGGGUUGGAAAGUUUCGGCGGUUGGGGAUGGACUCGCGGCUUUUCAGCUUGUUUGUGGGGUAGUGGCUUACCAAGGCUUUGACGGGUAGCCGGCCUGAGAGGGUGACCGGCCACAUUGGGACUGAGAUACGGCCCAGACUCCUACGGGAGGCAGCAGUGGGGAAUAUUGCACAAUGGGCGGAAGCCUGAUGCAGCAACGCAGCGUGCGGGAUGACGGCCUUCGGGUUGUAAACCGCUUUCGCCUGUGACGAAGCGUGAGUGACGGUAAUGGGUAAAGAAGCACCGGCUAACUACGUG
Molecule: ribosomal RNA, 468 nt
Filed under: uncultured bacterium
Lineage: Bacteria
Description: partial 16S ribosomal RNA
Rfam family: Bacterial small subunit ribosomal RNA
Source: RNAcentral